Molecule: ribosomal RNA, 703 nt
Filed under: uncultured Bacteroidota bacterium
Lineage: Bacteria; Pseudomonadati; Bacteroidota
Description: bacterial SSU rRNA
Rfam family: Bacterial small subunit ribosomal RNA
Source: RNAcentral
GCGAACGGGCCCUUCGGGGCCCUAGUAGAGUGGCGAACGGGUGCGUAACACGUAGGUAACCUGCCCUGGAGCGGGGGAUAACUACCGGAAACGGUAGCUAAUACCGCAUAAAGACCGGAGGUCGCAUGACCACCGGUUGAAAGCCUUCGGGCGCUCGAGGAUGGGCCUGCGGCGGAUUAGCUAGUUGGUGAGGUAACGGCUCACCAAGGCAACGAUCCGUAGCUGGUCUGAGAGGAUGAUCAGCCACACUGGCACUGAGACACGGGCCAGACUCCUACGGGAGGCAGCAGUGAGGAAUCUUGCGCAAUGGACGAAAGUCUGACGCAGCCACGCCGCGUGAAGGAAGACACCCCUAUGGGGCGUAAACUUCUUUUCUAUGGGAAGAACACCCUGUUCGGCAGGGUCUGACGGUACCAUAGGAAUAAGCACCGGCUAACUCCGUGCCAGCAGCCGCGGUAAUACGGAGGGUGCAAGCGUUGUCCGGAAUCACUGGGUGUAAAGGGUGUGUAGGUGGGACAGUAAGUCAGAGGUGAAAUCCUGCGGCUUAACCGUAGAAUUGCCUUUGAUACUGCUGUUCUUGAGUCCUGGAGAGGUCGUUAGAAUUCGUGGUGUAGCGGUGAAAUGCGUAGAUAUCACGAGGAAUACCAGAGGUGUAGACGGACGACUGGACAGGUACUGACACUGAGGCACGAAAGCGUGGGGA